This is a non-coding RNA of Oryctolagus cuniculus (rabbit), 16584 nucleotides long. The record is from RefSeq and is a predicted model, not a curated record. Lineage: Eukaryota; Metazoa; Chordata; Mammalia; Lagomorpha; Leporidae.
CCGCCGCCCCGCUCUGCACACGUGCCUCGACCUGCGAAUGUUCAUUUACAGCGCUUUCUUUUGAUGGACGUGUUUCUCGUAAGUUGGAGAAAGGUGGGAGAUUAGGUUGACUUUAACUUUUUAUUAGCUUAUAUCCAUUUUUUGAUAGUUUGGAAUUUAGUACACCUCAUUAUCAAUACUGAAUGGUUUAAAGUUCAAAAGAAUCACCCUUCUGCCUCGCAGUAGUUGGUCAUUUCAGUCCCGCGUCAGUCCUGUGGAACUCCUUGUGUGCGUAGGUAGAGCAGAAUGACGAUGUGUGGACGUCACCAACGUGGUCUAAGGAGUCUGGUCUCUGGCGUGUGGGCCCUGCUGUGGCUGCUGAAGCGGUGCAGGAUGGAAGGACAGUGUGCAGGAGUGAGGUGGCCAAGAGCGUCCCAGGCCGUUUCACACGCGGAUUUUUAAGUAACUGUGGCCUUCUGAACCAAUUAAACUGUUUGUUUCUGGUAUGGAUGUUACAGAGAGAAAACCGAGCUUCCUGGCAACGCUGUUUAUGGAAAUGGCCUUAGCAGCAGUGUGCACACUCAUGUGAGGUGUGGAGCCUUAGCAGCAGUGUGCACACUCAUGUGAGGUGUGGAGCCUUAGCAGCAGUGUGCACGCUCAUGUGAGGUGUGGAGCCUUAGCAGCAGUGUGCACACUCAUGUGAGGUGUGGAGCCUUAGCAGCAGUGUGCACACUCAUGUGAGGUGUGGAGCCUUAGCAGCAGUGUGCACACUCAUGUGAGGUGUGGAGUCUUUCUGGAUGCAUGCGUGUAGAGGCAGCAGUGAACUGUUAGCACACUUGCUUAAUCUCCACUCUCAGCUAAUCAUGUGAAAUCACUUUUCACUUUCAUUGUGUAGUCCUGUUUGUAGAUGCUGUUAAAUGGCUUUUGUUUUUAUUGUGUAGUGUUUGCACUUAGGGGAGCCAAAACCAGACCAUUAAAUUCAUAAUGAUUUGUGUGCCCAGAGCUUGUUAAUUCUCUGAAAUCACAGUGGUUGUAGUCACCUGAGACCCCGCUCCUCCAGCUGGCCAUGACUGACCUUUCUCCCGUAAACUCUGAUACUCUUCUAUGUGCGCGCCUCGCCCAGCCUGGGUUGCGUUUCAUUUUCCAAGUGUACCUUUCGAAGUAUAAACCGGAUCCUUUCAGCAUCUUGCUUAAAAUUCUUGGACCCACGGCGCGGUGUGGGCCUCUGCCCUGACCCCUGGCACCCCACCCUCUGCCUCUCCCCAGCUGGCCUCCACCUCUGCUGUUUGGAAAAGCUCGGACUUCUAAAAUAUAAACUGGACCCUAUCAACCCCCCGGCGUCUGGCUCUGCGCGAUGAUCCUGGCUCCCUCCACAAAGGGCUUGCUUAGGUGGUGCUCAGGCUGUGUUUACAUGGUUUACCUCCUUCCAGGCAGCAGGUGGCAAUACCAGUCCCUGCUCACCCUCGCUCACCCUCACUUCCCUCCGUCACUCUGCCUCCUCUGGGAAGCCCUCCCUGACCACUGCCUGUGCCCCAGGUCAGGUUGGCAUACUCCACCCUGUGGUUCUGGAACAUUGCUCUGUGCAUGGAGGCAAUACCCUGAUCUGUUUCCUUGCUGGACAACCUAGGGGCAGGGACUGGCACUGUCACGCCUUUCCUGGCCCACAGAAGAUGUCCCGUGCGUGUUGGUGCAGCUGGUGUGCAGUGAUGUGCAGUUUGUGAAGGUGCGGGCUGCUCCUUAGUUGGUCUUCCACGUGUUUGCUCUGUGGUUUGGCAGUGACUUUUCUCAAAGAUCGUGCAGUGUUCUGUUGUCAUUCACUUUAGAAUAAGUAGUAGACAAUGCACGUGUACAUUCAGAUUUGUUGAAUUAACUGAAUUGAGAGAAGUGUUUUAGCACUCACUUCCUUCUGUAGGAGCUGAGUGCUCUCCUUCAAUUCAGAGCUGUUGCAUUGCAAGUAAAAGGCAGCAGUCAAGUGUAUCUAACACACCAGCAGUUCUGUGUGGUAUCUCCAUGCGCAAAGUAAUACUUUGCUCAGUGACAGUUUAAUUAGUUGAGCAUGAUGAAAUUCAUAUUUUCCUCAGUGAUGAGCAGGUUUUGCACAUUAGCUGUCAGCACUCACAAGUUUUUCUUGUGUUAUUGGGCAGAUAUGCUAAGUUAUUAAAAUAUUUGUGGUGUCUCUGUGAGAAUAAGAAGCCUCACGCCACCACGGCUCCCAUCCCUGUAACAGAUUGGAAUUGGCCACUGAGCUUCGGUCUCCACCCACGGUGGCUCACCUCUGUGUUCCUGAACGCUCUCGUACCGAGACAGGAUCUGCUUGCCACUGGCGCAGGGGGCGGCUUUGUCUGCUCUGCCAGCCUCGCAGACGUGCCGUUCCUGCUGCCGCGCCACAGCAGGGCUUGCUCAGCGCGCUCUGGGCAGCAGGGCUGGCACGCAGGCCUUCCCUCUCAUCAGCUUGCCUCUUGAAGGAGACGUCCAUGAUGCCUGCACUCCAGGAAGGGCAUGGUUAGGUCACAGUGACGUGGCCGCUAUUAAGUGGCUGUGGACCCUGUGACAGGGCUGCAAUAGGAAUUAGCAGGAGGGAACACGGCAGUGCUAGGCUGAUGCUGGGGGGUCCUGGUUUCCAUUGCAUUCAGUUAAAUUAAAAAUUUAGAAUUUCCCGAGUCUCCAUUGUAAUAUAUUUAUUUAAGUCAUUCGAUAUCUUUUCUCUGUUAUCUUCGUGUGUUUUCAGAUGUGACGUUAAGCCAUUAAAAGCCACCGUUGUGAAUUAGGAUUAGAGGGCUAAAAAUGAUCACAGCAUAGACCUUAACAGCAGUUUGUAGCCUCCUGUAAUUAUUUUAUACAAAAUCAAAAUCCUGCCGACUGGAUGACGGUGGGUGGUCUAGCCUUUUUAAAUUCAGCUCAGAUUUUCUUUUUAAGGUAAAUUUCCUGUCAUAAGCAGUAGCUUAUGGCACUGUGAUACCAGCAAUUUAUUUACGCUUUCUUAGAUUCUAAAACGCUUUAGAGUUUUUAGUGUUUCUUUCACUUUUGUUAACUGUAUUUAGUUCUGUUCUUGGUGUAGUUUUUGCUUCAUGAUUACUAACCAAACCUCAGCCUUGUGUAGUCAUAUAGGGAUUUUUAGUUUGUCCAAAGUUGACUUAAAUUGAGACCUCACAUAAAGUGAACAACCAAAAUACUUUGAGUAUUAAUCUUCCAAAAUAAUUUCAAUUAACGUCUGUAGUAUUAUCUUUAGAAUUUUCAUCUCCCUAAGCUGAGUUUUGCAAAUCAUAUAGGUGACUGAUUACUUAUUGCUAUAGUGAACAAUAAAUUUAGUUUCCGAUUCUGUAUGUAGUGAUUAAAAAAAAAUCCAGUUGAUUAAUUUCAUGAUUCAAAACAGAUAUCCGUUAAAGCCGUAGCUGUGUUUUUUUAACCCAACAGUUGGAUAUUUAAAUUGUUGUCACCUCUUUAUUUGUGUAUAUGUCAGUAAAGAUUAUUCUGGUUAGUUCUGAGUCACAUAACGGACUGUUCUUAAGAUUUUUUUUUAAAUAAACUUUUUAUUUCAGAAUAGUUUGAAAUUUAGAAAACAAAAACUGUGAAAUUAUACAAAGAGUUUCCAUGUACUCCACACCCAGUUCCCUCUAAUGUUAACAUCUCAUAUUAAUGUUUGUCCCAGCUAAUGACCCACACAGAGUUUCCCUGAUUUUUUUAAAUUCAAAUUCCCUCAACCCCCCGCAGCUCUCCCAGCCGCAAGGAAUUGACAUUCCAUGUUCAGAUUGAGGUUUUCCUUUGAACUCCCAUGUAUGAAGGAAAACAUGCAGUGUUUUUCCUUUUGUGUCUGGCUCAUUUCACAUAACAUCAUGUCUUCCAGUUCCAUGCAGUUUGCUGCAAGUGACAGGACUCCAUUCUUUUCUGUGGCUGAGUAGUAUUCCAGUGUGUGUGUGUCUGAAUCGCGUUUUCUUUACCCAUCCCUCUAGUGAUGGACAGCUUGGUUGGUUCCCAUCUUGGCUGUUGUGAACAAUGCUGCAGUGAACAUGGUGGUAUAGGUGUCUCUUUAAGACGAUGUGUUUUUGUCUUUUAGGCAUAUACCCAGUAGUGGAAUUGUCCGAUCAUAUGGCAGUCUAGUUCUUGAGAAAUCUCUGUACUGUGCUCCAUAGUGGCUGCACUAAUUUACAAUCCCGUCAGUAGAACACAAGAGCUCCCCUCACCCCACUUCUGCCCACAUUCCAUGCUGUCUUUUGGAUGAUAGCCAUCCUGGCAGAGUAUGGUGAUAGCUCAUUGUAGUUUUGACUUGCAUUUCCCCAAUGGCUAGUGAUAUUGAGAUUUCUUUUUUCAUCCAUCUGUUGGCCAUUCUUAUUUCUUCUUUGGAGAACUGUUCAGGUCCUCUGCCCAUGUAUUAACUGAAAGGGUUGCUUUUUGUUAUUUUUUGAGUUUUUGAGUUCUAAAAUAUUCUGGAUAUUAGUCCACUGGCAUAUAUUUUCUCCCGUUCUGUAGCUGUCUCUUUACUUUCUUGAGUAUUUUCUUUGCUGUACAGAAGCUUCUGAGUUCAGUAUAGCCCCGUUGCUUUUGUGUUGUCUGUGCUUUUGGGGUUCUGUCCAAGGAAUCAUUGCCUACACCAGUGUCUGGAAUGCCUCUCCUGUUUUCUUCCAGCAAUUUCAUAGUCUCGGGUCUUACACGGAGGUCUUUGAUCCAUCUGGAGUUGACUUUUAUAUGUGAUGUGAGGUAGGGAUCUGGUUUCCUUCUGCUACAUGUACACAUCAGGAUUCCCCAGUAGCAUUUAUGGAGAAGGCUGCCCUUGCUCCAAAUGGAUGUUCCUAGCACCUUGGUCAAAAGUCAGUUGGCUGUAGGCAUGUGAAUUAAUGUCUGUACCCUUCUGUACUGUUGGUCUUUGUGUUGGUUUUUAUGCCAGUACCAAGAUGUUCCAAUGACUACAGCUAUGUAAUGUGCUUUGGAAUCAGACAUUGUAAUGCCCCCAGCUUGGUUUUUAUUUUGGGGGAAGGGGAGCUCAGGUUUGUGUUGGUUAUUCUGGGUCUUUUGUGGUUGUAUGUGAAUUUUAGGAUUUUGUUUUGUAAUUAUGUAAGUAAUGUUGGUACUUUGUUAGGGUUUACAUUUCCUUUGUAGAUUAAUUUUAACUAUAUUUAUUCUCCCUGUCCAUGAAUAGGGAAUAUCUUUUCCAAUUUUGUAUGUCUCCUUGAAAUUAGAGAAGGAAAAAAAUGAAGGGCUUCAAAACUUGAAAGGAGGAAAUCAAAACAUCUAUGUUUUCAGAUAACCUGAUUGUGUUCAUGGGAAAACCUGCACACUGCACCAGGCUGUUAGAACUUGAAAACCAGUUCAGUAAAGUCACAGGAUACAAAGUCAAUAUAGCAAAAACAGUAGCAUUUUUAUGCAUCAACAGUGAUCUUGCUGAAAGAGAAAUCAAGAAAGAAAUCCCAUUCACAAUAGUUAAAAAAAUUUAAAUAUUUAGGAAUAAAUUUAACUAAGGACAUAAAAGAUCUUUGUUUUGAAAAUCAUAAAACAUUGAUGAAAAAGUUAUCAAGGACAUAAUCAAAAUGGUCUUCGGGUUCUAGUUACUCUAUUAUCCAUGGUUAUCAAGAGCUCUAUUUGUACCUUAUAAAUUUUAACUGAGUUAAUAAUAUUGUUGAUCUUAUUUGCAAAUGCAACAUAAAAGUUCACACCUUUAAAACAUGCUAACUUUGAAAAAUAUCCUUCUUUAAGUUUUCUCCUAAAUCUUGGUUUUAACUAUUUUUCUUUUCUUACCCAAAAGCCAAUUAAGUUUAAUCUGUACACAUUCCUUAAAGGUAUUUAGAAAUGAAUUUCAAGUUGACAGUUUUUAUAAAAUACAGCUUUUGGUAUUUAAUUCAAAUGUUUACACAUUAUUGUAGCAAUUGGAAUUAUAACAGGAAGGAGGAAGACAGCUGUGUAAUUCUCAGCUGAAACGUGUAGUACCUUCCUGGGAAUAGCUCCACAGUUGCUUCUUAUGGCCCGUCAGGGGUGUCAGCCCGCAGGCAGCGCCGCCCAGUGUGAUGAGUGAGUAGAGCUGUCAGCUGUCCAGCGUGCAGGCAGCGCGCUGGGCAGCCCAGUCAACCCAGUUGAAGAGAAGAAAAUGCAUGCCUGAUGCUGGAGGCACAGGCACACGCAAGCUCUUCCUAAACCUGUGUUUGUUUUAUGUAAGAGAACUUUAGUUUUCAGGUCUCUCUCUGCCUUUCAGAAUCUGUCUUGCAGAUAUGUUUGCUAUAUUCGGUAAGAAAUAUUGCAGAGUUAGGUUAUCUCCUGUUUCUUAUAACUCAGAUAAUUAAAAGUUCAGGCCCAGUUUAGAAGUUCUAGAGAAUAAGAAAGGUCCUAGAAGAAUAAAGAUAAAGGAAAAAGUUGUAUUUUAAUUUGAUUUUUCAAAAAUUGAAAAACAGAGAAGUUUGAUGUUGCACUCUGAGAAAAUGGAUCAUUAAGAUAUUUGUGGGCCUUUGUAAAAUAGUUAGCUAUACAUUAUAUGUAGGCAUGCAUAAUGUCAUGCUAUAUAUAUAUUAAUACAUAGCAUGCUAAUAUAAACAUUAGAUGUAUACAUGAAUUUAUAUAUGUAUGUAUAUAUUAUAUACAUUAUAUGCAGGCAUGCAUAUAUAUUGUGUUCUAUAUAUAUUAGUAUGUAACAUGCUAAUAUAAACAGUAGCUGCAUGUAUGAGUUUAUAUGCACAUGUAUUAUAUACAUUAUAUGCAGGCAUGCACAUAUAUUGUGUUAUAUAUAUAUUAGUAUGUAACAUGCCAAUAUGAACAGUAGAUGUGCAUGAGUCUAUAUUUGCAUGUAUGUAUUAUUAUAUAAACACUUUACGAAUCUGUUACUGUAUAUGCAUAGUAAUGUCAUUAGCAUUUAUUGCCUGUAUAUCAUCUGCUGGGAAGAGGGCUUUACCUUUGAUUGCCUGACUUAACCUUCAGAACAGCACCUGGAGAAGUAAUAUCAUUAUCUGACUUUAUGGAGGAAGCAUGAAGAGGGUUAGUGAUUUGCCCAAGAUCAUCUAGCUAGGACAUAGUGGAGCUGGGGUUCAGGAUUCAAGUCCAGGCAGCCCUACUCUAGGCACUUGUUGUAAUGCUAGACAAAGAGCUAGUACCCUCUAUUAAGCAUCUAUUAAGGAAAAAGGCAGAUACUCUGAUAGAAAAAUAGGCAAAAGUCAUGAAAUUCACAGAAGAAUUAAAAAGUCAGUGAACAUGAAAAAGAUACUAAAGUUCAUGAUUUCUCAAUGCGAAGUAAAGUGGCAUUCAGAUACCAUUUUAUAAAAUACUCUCCAGGUUCACAAAUACUGAACACCUGCUUUCUUGAAAAGGUACAGAGAAGCCAACUGUCCCCACAUCUUCCUAGAAAUGUAAACUGGCCCAUCUGUAUGACACACAUAGAUAUGUUUGCAUGUAAAUGCAUGCAUAUUCAAAAUUUCUUGCAUAUAUAAAAAUUUCAUGGAAAAUGGAAUUAAAAGAUAAAUUGCUUUUGGUGCAAACAUUUUUGAAACCAUGCAUGCCUCUUAUGUAUUAGGUGCUUCAAGAAGGUCGUGGGAAAACGGAAUUCAAAGGCAGUGUGCAUUUUCCACAAACUUUUUGAAGCACCCUCGUAUAUGUGUGUCGUUUACUUAGAAAUUCUAACAGUUUAUCUUAAGGAAAGUAUCAGACAAAUAAGUAAAGAAAUCAAAGCCAUAUUUGUGCAAUGGAGUACUACUGCAUUAAGACCAAGUAGGGCUUAUUUUAGGCAAGCCUGUUCAGUGCAACAUUUGAAAAUUAAUCAAUAAUUCAGUAGCCUGAGCAAAGACAUGUCAUCAUCUCGGGAGAUGUAAAGAACACUUAACAAAAUGCAACAACAUUCAUGAUUUAAAAAAAGCCUUCAGCCUAUUGGAAAUAGAAGAAUACUCCAGAGUCUGAAAAGGUUCUACAAAGAUUCUGUAGCUUGUAGCAGACUCUGCUGAAGUCUGGAAGGUUCUCCUGCAGGAUCAGAAAAGCAGCAGGGAUGCCUUUGCCACCGCUGCCACUCAGUGUUGUACUCGGAUCCCACUCUUGUCACACCGCAAGAAAAGGAAGGAAGACUGGGACAAACAAAAGAAAGUGUUUGUUGUAAGAAAUGAAAUAACAUUGUAAGGAAUCUACAAAAAUUAUCGUAAGUGGAUUGAAGAUCCUAGGUUACAGAAUCAAGAUACGUAGCAGGGGCUGGUGCAGUGAGUCCAGCUGCUCUUGCGAUGCCAGCAAACCAUCCGGGACGACCAGCUGGAGCCCUGGCUGCUCCCUGCUGAUGCACCCAGGAAGGCAGUGGAGGAUGGGGGAAGGCCUUGAGGCCUUGCCGUUACAUGGGAGACUAGGAUGGAGUUGCUGGCUCCUGACAUCAGCCUGGCCAGCCCCGGCUGUUGCAGUCAUUUGUGGGGGUGAACCAGCAAAUGGAAGUUCUCUCUGCCUUUCAAAUAAGUAAAUAAACCUUAAAACUUUUUAUAGCAAAAAAAUGGAAAAUUAAUAAAUUUCAUUUUAAAUAGCAUCAAAAUAUAAAAAACAUUAAAGUAAGCAAACAAAGAAAACACAUGUGAAGACCUCUUCCAAAAGCUGGAAAUCACUGCUGACUCAGUGCCUCGGCAGCCAGGUUUCCAGCAGGCGUUUUUGGGGUUUUUUUGGGGGGUGGAAACUACAGGACUAUUCUAAAGUUUAUUUGGGAAAGUGAAGGACCUUGAAUACCGGCAACCAAUCUUGAAGAAGAACUGCAAAGCUGGCCUACUCACAUGUCUUGAUUCAAAGACUUCUCAAGCCACCGUACUAAAGAUAGCGUAGUAUUAGUGCAAGGACAGAUAAAGACAUCAGUGAAACAGAAUGGACCCGUUCCUGUGGAGAGUUAAUUUUUGACAAAAGCAGCAAGACGUGCAUGGUGAGAGGGAGUCUCCUCAACAGGUGGUAGCGACAAGAGGGUGCCUGUGAGCCAGCCUCCCACAGACAGCACCCCGUAGCAGCCGCAAGGAAAGGCCUGCAAGAUCUGCGGCAUCCUUCGUCCCUGGAGAGGAGCGGGUGAACCUCAGCCAGACGCUCCUCGGUCCCACUGGAGUCGCUGCGUCUGAAGAGUCCGUGGACGCUACGCGCUGGCAAAGGUGGUGGAGCAGUGGGGACGCCCACAUGGUGCAGGUGAGCCUGUGGAGUGGCACAGCCGCCUGGGGAGCAGUCCCUGACCGAGUGAGACGUACCUCUCCCGGGUGACCCAUCGCGCCUAGGCAUUCUCCGCUCCACCAAAAACAGAAGUGCACAGUGUGGCCCUCAUAGCUUUAUUGCUAACAGCCAAAAACUGGAAAUAGCUGAAACACCCAUCAGGAAGAGGAUGUAUCCAACUAUGUGUUCAAACAGUAUCCGUAGGGGGUACUUCAGAAAGUUCAUGCGAGUGCAGUUAAAAGAUACGUUUAUUCUGGUACAAGAUAUUCUGAGGGGCGAGUGUUCAGCACAGUGGUCAAGCUCCCACUUGGGACAGCUGCAUCCCAUGUUCAAGUCUCGGCUGCUCCGCUCCUGAUCCAGCUUUCUGCUAAUGUGCACCCUGGGAGGCAGCAGGUAAAGGCUGCUUGGGUCUCUGUCGUCUACAUGGGAGACCCAGAUUGAGUUCUGAGCUCCUGGCUUCAACUCGGCUCAUCCCUGGUAGUUGUGGACAUUUGGGGAGUGAGCCAGCAAAUGGAAGCUGUCUCUCUGCCUUCAAUACACAUAGACACACACAUAAAUAAAGUUUGAAAUACAUGUGUGGUUUUUAAUUUUUUUCUAUUUUAAAUUUAAACUUUUUUUAAGAUUUUUUAUUUAUGUAUUUGACAGGUAGAGUCACAGACAGUGAGAGAGAGAGAGAGAGAAAGAGAGAGAGAAAGGUCCUCCAUCUGAUGGUUCACCCCCCAAAAUGGCCGCAACUGCCGGAACUAUGCUGAUCCAAAGCCAGGAGCCAGGUACCUCCUCCCAGCCUCCCACACAGGUGCAGGGGACAAACACUUGGGCCAUCCUCCACUGCCUUCCCAGGCCACAGUAGAGAGCUGGACCGGAAGAGGAGCAACCAGGACUAGAACCCAGUGCCCAUAUGGGAUGCCGGCGCCACAGGCAGAGGAUUAGCCUAGUGCGCCAUGGCGCUGGCCCCUUAAAUUUAAACUUUUAUGUGAGGGGCCCAGCUCUAUGGUGUAGUGGGUAGAGCCACUGCCUGCAGCCCUGGCAUUCCAUAUGGGCUCUGGUUCAAGUCCCAGCCGUUCCACUUCUGAUCCACCUCCCUGCUAAUGCACCUGAAAAAGCAGCAGAACAUGACCCAAGUCCCUGGACCCCUGUGCCCACGUGGGAACCUGAACGGAGUCAGAUAUCUGACUCCUAGCUUCACCCUGGCCCAGCCCCAGCCAUUGCGGCCUUGGGGAGUGAACAAGUGAGUGGAGGACCUCUCUCUCUCUCUCUCUCUCUCUCUCUGCCUCUGCCUCUGCCUCUGCCUCUCCUUCUCUGUAACUCUGCCUUUCAAAUAAAAAUAAGUCAUUUAAAAAUUUUUUUUUGAGAAACAGAGACCUUCCAUCUGCUGGCUCACUCCCCCACAUGCCCACAACUGCCAAGACUGAGCCAAGCUGACGCCAGGAGCUCGGAACCCAAUCCAGGUCUCCUGCGUGAGUGGCAAGAACCCAGCUCCUCAGUCAGCAUCUGCUGCCUUCAGGUGUGCAUUGGCAGGAGGCUGGAUGGGACCCGGAGCAGGUACUCGAUGUGGGAUGCUGGUGUCCCGGGCAGCAGCCAAGAACAGUGCCAAGUGCCUGCCCAUAUCUUUUUAAUAAUAUGUAUUUUCAGCCAGCGCUGCGGCUCACUAGGCUAAUCCUCCACCUGCAGCGCCGGCACCCCGGGUUCUAGUCCUGGUUGGGGCACCAGAUUCUGUCCCGGUUGUUCCUCUUCCUGUCCAGCUCUCUACUGUGGCCCAGGAAGGCAGUGAAGGAUGGCCCAGGUGCUUGGGCCCUGCACCCACAUGGGAGACCAAGAGGAAGCACCUGGCUCCUGGCCUCAGAUCGGUACUGUGCCGGCCGCAGUGGCCAUUUAGGGGGUGAACCAAUGGAAGGAAGACCUUUCUCUCUGUCUCUCUCUCUCUCACUGUCUAAAUCUACCUGUCAAAAAAAAAUAAUAUGUAUUUUCACAAACUUUUUGAAGAUCCUUUGUAUGCAUGGAUUUCAGAAUUUUUUACACUGGAAUAAGCUUAUCUUUUAAAUCCAUUUUCCAAAAGCUUUUUGAAAUAUCCUGGUACAGUGGUACACUACUCUUGUUGUUGAUACCUAGUGAUGUGGAUGGAUCCCAAAAAUGCCAUGGUGGGACUGGCUGAGAGGAGGCAGGAGAGAGCUAAGGGGUGAUGGGUGUAGGGACGAGAGGAGGAAGGAGGCCUAGGUUAAUGAGAGCUCCCGCGUGAACUCCGCAGCUCCAGGUCGCCUGCAAGGCUCCUGUGGGUGUCUGUCCUGGGGCUACUCAGAGUAGUCCUGGAACUGAAGGCACAGCUUGGAAAUAUGGCGCCCGUUCCUGCGUGUGUGGAUCAUCACGUCUGAAUGCAAGACCAGGCGUGUGAGAACGUGUUUAUCAGGACAGACCGAGGGCAGAUACCGGUGUUGAAAUGGCUGCAGUGUUUGAAAGAAGUAGACCCACAUCUCUGCAGGGUGCAGACUUCUGCAGUCAGACCAGUCACAGUGCAAGCCUUCAAGCCGUGGUCGGAGGGAAUGGCACAGUGGCACGGUAGCUAAGCCGCUCCCUGCUCGGGACAUCUGCACUGGGGUUAAGUCCAGUUACUCUGCUUCCAAUGCAGCUGCCUGCUAACGCAUCCUAGGAGGUGGCAGGCGAAGGCGCCAAGCGCCUGGGCCUCUGCCACCACAGGGGAAGACCCGGAUGGAGUUCCCGUCCCGUGGCUUCAGCCUGGCCCAGCUCUGGCUAUGGUGGGCAUCUGGGAAGAGAAUCAGCAGAUGGCAGACUGACCUCUCUCUCUGUCUCUCUCUCUCUGGCUUUGAAGUAGAUGUGGAUAGAUUGGAUGAUAAAUUGAUUGAUUGAUUGAUUGAUCACUUUCACAUCAGUGCACACAUACCUUGCUCUGAGGCACUCUUGCCUGAUCCGAGUGGACCUCCAAAGAAUUGCACACCCCAAGAUCUGCUGCUUCCAGCUGGAGAUGGUCUAGCCUGGCAUCCGAUGGUAAUGCCUUGAAGAACAAGGAGCAUUUGGUAAAUAUCCCCAAGUUAAGACGGGGGUGCAUUCCAGGACCCCAGAGCUGUCCCAGAAACCCGUGCUUUAAGGGAAGUGAUUACCGUGGGACGUAAGAGGCACAGGCAGGGUCUGAUGGUUCUCCCAGAGGCCCAGCAGGAGGUGAACUUGUGCAGAGAGAGGAGGGACAAAGUGCAAUUUCACUUAGGAAAAAUGCGAGUUCAUAGCAACACAUUUAAAAUAGCAGGAUGUGUUUGCAACUUGGAAAACUGUCAGGUCAGCAUUUCUCCACUUCAUUCACUGCUGUGUUAACUGCGCUUCACCAGAAGAAAUAAUUGAAUUUAAAAUUAAGCAUGGAGAGUCGCUGUCCAGAGUGGAGGCUGAGUCUUCUAUUUGGUGGGAAAUUAAAGGGGAACACCCGUUAGUUCUGUUCAGUUACCGCAGCGUACUGCACUGUUCAGUUAUGGACAUUAGAGGCAUCGCCGGCUGCUGUGACUCUGGCUUUCCCUUGACCCCUAACGCCCGAGACGUGCCCGGCUGGGCUCGCUGGUCAGGCACAGGACAGCUGCCCUGGUUGCGCGGGUGGGAGCCACACGGGCUCCCUCGAGCUGACAGAGACUGGCAGCCGCUCCCAGGCACUAGAACGUCCUCGUGAAUGCCCAAAUACUGGUAAGAAAUUUUUCUGUCCACUGAACAUAGAUUUUUUUAUGCUUUUACUCUUCUAUCCAUAAAUUCAUAGGCAACGCUCUUCUCUGUUAAUGUUUAACUUAAUUAAAUGUCAAGCACUCUUUCUUUUAGCUACUUUUUAAUUGUGGUUAAAAUAUUUAGAUAAACUUUUACUGCAGUAAUAAUACUGUUUUUAGGCUACAAAUUCAAGGGAAAAUGGAUAGUUUUUCAUUCUGUGUAGCACAUUAUUUAAAUGUAGGAAAAUACAUUUCAUUAACAUCAGCAGUGUCACCAACAGAAUUUUAUUUCAUUAUUUCUCAAAACAUUACAAGAAAUACUUUUAAAUUUUUAGAAUUACUUUUAUUUGUUUGGAAGGCAGAGAUACACAGAGAGACAGAGCUCUUCUGUCUGCUGGUUCACUCCCCAGAUGUCUGCAGCAGCCAAGGCUGGGCCAGGCCAGAGGCAGCAACCGGAACUCCAUCCAGGUCUCCCGCAUGGGCAGCAGAGGCCCAAGUACCUGCUCCCUCCCAGGCUGCACAAUAGCAGGAAGUUAGAACGGAGACCGGACCUGGGACUUGGAGCGGGCACUCCCGCGUGGGAUCCCGGUGUUCUAAGCAGUGCCUACCCACUCCACCAACAAUCUUUGAAAGACCUAACUGUACUGUACAGACUCACUGAAGAAAGCUAUGCACUCAUGGCCCCGUUUGCACUUAGUCCAAGUUGAGUUCACAGGACUGGUCUAAGUGGUUGCAGUACGGCUUGCUGCCUGGUGGUUUAUCCCAGCCCAUUCGUACUGCUGUCACACGAGCCGCACACUGGGUAAUUUAUAAAGAACAGAAAUGUGUCUCCUCACCAUUCUGGAGACAGAAGUCCCAGAUCAAGGUGCCGGCUGGCUCUGCAUCGGGUGAGGGCCUCGGGGCUGGCUCUCUGGAGUGAUGGAAUUCUGUGCCUUCCUGUGCGGGAAGGCGGAAGGGCAGGCAAAGCCAGCCACGCGGUGUGUGAGCCUUUGGGCAGAGCCCUCGAGACUCCCUCGCCUCCGAGGGCCCCCUCUUCUAACCUCCACGACAGGGACUGAGUUUCAGCACGAACUUUGGAAGGACCACAUUCAAUCCACAGCCUCCUUACGGGGCACCAUGCUUGGUGUGUCCAGUGUUGCGGUGGAAUGAGAACACGCCUCAGAUCUCUGGGGGUGGACACCAGUGCGUGACCAACAGGCCCCUUCUCUGCCCUGGUCUCAGACCAGUUGGAGGGAGACAGAACCAGCAGGUGACAAAGCGGAUGCAGAGGCGAAUGAUCCGAUGGAAGGGCCUCCAGCCUAGACCCUGAGGCAGGCCUCGCCGGGGAGGGCUGACACUGCAGAACAGACUAUUGACCCAGGGCGAGAGCAGUGGAAGAGAGUUUAAUAAAACACUGGGGAAAAUCCUACUCGGGGAACCCAGACAAGUGAGAGAAACCAAUCUGCUUCUUUAGAGCUCAAAUGAAUUAAAAACCAUCACAUUUCUUUUUCUUUAAAAAAGAUUUUAUUUUUGUUUUUUUCGAAAAGCAGAGUUACCCAGAGAGAGGGGGAGACAGAAAGAGAGAGGGGAACGGUGGAAGCGCUAACUUCCAUCUGCUGGCUCACUCCCCAGAUGGCUGCAACUGCCAGGUCUGUGCAGGCUGAAGUCGGGAGCCUGGAGCUUCCUCCGGGUCUCCCACAUGGUGCAGGGGCCCAGGUACUCAGGCCAUCUUCUGCUUUCCCAGGUGUGCUAGCAGGGUGCUGGAUCAGAAGUGGAGAAGCCGGCUCAAACUGGUGCCCAUAUGGGAUGCCAGCAUUACAGGUGGCAGCUUCAUCCACUGUGCCACAGCACCAGCCCCCAAACCAGCAUAUUUCAAAUCGUGACUCCAUUUCCAGGGUGGAUGGAGGGAUAAAGGCCUUUUCCUUUCCAAAUAACAUUAAGAUAAGCUGAUAUCACAAUUAGUGGUAUCUACAUUGCCAUGUUAAUUCCAAUUAAUGAUAUGAGUAUAAUAAAGUAUGCGCAUCCGGCAAGAGGUAGCUAGCUCUGGGUAUCCAGGCAAAAUAUAGGAGCUGAUAGCAACAAAUAAAACUAUAGUGUCCCAUUAAUGCUCAAGAAAAGCUGGGGGUGAGCCUCUGGUGCAGCAGGCAAGUCACUUGGGACUGCUCCAGCUUCCUGCUGAUGGCAGGUGGUGGCUCGAGUACGUGGGCCGCUGUCACCCUCACAGGGCCCUCAGUUCCUGCAGUCUCCAGCGCGGGUGUGGCCUGGGUCAGCCUCUGCUAUUGCAGGGUGUUUAGGGAGUGAGCCAAUGGAGGGGAGAUUCUCCUCCCUCUCUGCCUUUCAAAUAAAAUGAAAAUAAUUUUCAGAGAGCUAGAUUAUUUCCGCAUCAGUUAUUGUUACUGUUAGUUACAGCAGUCAGCUGUAGAGACAGUUCAUAGAACUGCACCUGGCCUCCGCCCUGGUUUUCCCUCCACGGCCAGCUCUUGGUGUCUGGUGAUGGAGCCCAGCACCAGCACCGCCCUGCUUUCCUGCCCCCGUCCUCUCCCCCUGCCGCUCUCCCUGCAGUGCGUGCCGUCCGUCCUGCCAGCACCAUGGGAAGAGCUGCCUGCACCUGCUUCCAGACCCCACCCUGCACUCCCUCGUGUUUCUCUAGUCCCUGGACUUCUUCCUUUUUGUAGCCUUCUGCUCAUCAGCAGAUCUUGAAAACACCCUCGCUUCAGCCCACAGGCUGCUCCCAGGCUGCUGGACACCCCGAAGUAGGCUUCUCAGGGGAGUUGCCUGUGCCUUGCUGAAAUUGCUGUCCCAGCAUCAGUCAGCCGCCAGCACAGGCCCUGUGGCCCGUUCCUGGGACAUGCUCCCCUCCUGCCCUGGCCCCUGGCGCUCAGUGCCUUCCUGGGCUGCUAGUGUGUCCCUGAGUCCUUCUUGUUGACCAAGUCCCAGGCCUUGGCAGCUCCUGGCCGCUGCACACCCUCGCUGGGCUCAUUCUCCUGCAUCCCAUACUCUUAUUCCCCAAAGCCACCCCUCUCCUCCCUGCCUUCAGGCAGCGUCUCCCCUUUGUGUUGCUAGCCUUGGUGCCGCUGCGUCUGUCCUCCCAGCCCAGCUCUCUGCACUGCCCGACACGCAUGGUCGGCCAUCAGAGGCUACAGACAGCGUUGCUAAAGAACGCUGAUCCAUCAGGCACCAGGACUUCUUCCCUCGUCUGAUCUCUCCCUCUGCAUCUCACCCCGCUCAGAUUCAGGCCCUGCCUCUCCUCAGAAUCCUUCCGUGGUCCCCCUGGGUCCCGAGGGGAGAAGACGGCUGUGAUACUGCUCAGAGCUGACCCGCACGGCUCACCGGGCCUGGUCUCCAGCCCCGGCACCUUGCACUGUAGUCAGUCGUCCACUGGGCGCCGUGAUGGUCCUGGCACGUGGCGUUCCCCUCCCAUGCUGCCUGCCUCCCCUGCCUUUCCCUGCCGCCCACCUCAGCCCGUGGGAGCCUGGCGCUGUGAGCCUUCGCUCACGGUGUCUGCUGUGUGCCGCCCGCUGGCUGUCGUGCCUGCACUGUGCACUCUCCCCACAUUGGUGCUCCUCCGUAUCCACGCCCACCGAGGGAACUGGCUCAGAGGAAGCAUUUGGCAAAAGACUUAUUCAGUAAUUACUUGCUUGGUUUUAAUGAGAGACACCUUGGUGAGGAUUACUCUUAAGGAAGAUAGCAUUAAUUAAAAUACCAGCUUACAGUACCGUGGGUUUUUUUUUUUUUUUUGUACUAUCUGUUUAUUUUAGAGGUAGUGGGGUGGGGAGGGGGCAAGCAAGCCAGCUCCCAUCCGCUGAUUCACCCC